GAUGAACGCUGGCGGCGUGCCUAAUACAUGCAAGUCGAGCGAGCAGACGAGGAGCUUGCUCCUCUGACGUUAGCGGCGGACGGGUGAGUAACACGUGGAUAACCUACCUAUAAGACUGGGAUAACUUCGGGAAACCGGAGCUAAUACCGGAUAAUAUAUUGAACCGCAUGGUUCAAUAGUGAAAGACGGUUUUGCUGUCACUUAUAGAUGGAUCCGCGCCGCAUUAGCUAGUUGGUAAGGUAACGGCUUACCAAGGCAACGAUGCAUAGCCGACCUGAGAGGGUGAUCGGCCACACUGGAACUGAGACACGGUCCAGACUCCUACGGGAGGCAGCAGUAGGGAAUCUUCCGCAAUGGGCGAAAGCCUGACGGAGCAACGCCGCGUGAGUGAUGAAGGUCUUCGGAUCGUAAAACUCUGUUAUUAGGGAAGAACAAAUGUGUAAGUAACUAUGCACGUCUUGACGGUACCUAAUCAGAAAGCCACGGCUAACUACGUG
RNAcentral lists this ribosomal RNA (497 nucleotides) under uncultured bacterium. RNAcentral describes it as "partial 16S ribosomal RNA". It matches the Rfam family "Bacterial small subunit ribosomal RNA", at positions 28 to 507 of the family's 1533-position model. The record is from RNAcentral.